AACGAACGCUGGCGGCAGGCCUAACACAUGCAAGUCGAGCGAACCUUCGGGUUAGCGGCGGACGGGUUAGUAACGCGUGGGAACGUGCCCUUCACUAAGGAAUAGCCACUGGAAACGGUGAGUAAUACCUUAUACGCCCUUCGGGGGAAAGAUUUAUCGGUGAAGGAUCGGCCCGCGUCUGAUUAGAUAGUUGGUGGGGUAACGGCCUACCAAGUCGACGAUCAGUAGCUGGUUUUAGAGGAUGAUCAGCAACACUGGGACUGAGACACGGCCCAGACUCCUACGGGAGGCAGCAGUGGGGAAUCUUAGACAAUGGGCGCAAGCCUGAUCUAGCCAUGCCGCGUGAGUGAUGAAGGCCUUAGGGUCGUAAAGCUCUUUCGCCAGGGAUGAUAAUGACAGUACCUGGUAAAGAAACCCCGGCUAACCCGGUGCCAGCCGCCGCGGUAA
This 447-nucleotide ribosomal RNA is filed under the name uncultured bacterium. Its description in RNAcentral is "bacterial SSU rRNA". It matches the Rfam family "Bacterial small subunit ribosomal RNA", at positions 29 to 523 of the family's 1533-position model. The record is from RNAcentral.